AUAAUCGGCUAGACUUUAUAAACUUAUACUCUAAUUAAUGUUAAUUUAGAGUUAUUUUGGUAUUGAUUUUUAAUUUUAGGGUGAAAUCAGAAAUUAUUUUUAUUUAAACUCUAAAUUUUAAGAUUUAGUAAACAAACCAGAUUAGUACCUGGUUAGAUAAAAUUUAAAAGAGCAGGAGUAAAGUUAUAUUUAAACUGUAAGAAUAUUGGCAGGUUUUUAAAUUAUCUUUGGAGGCUGAGUAGUGAUUGAGAGCCCUCAUUUUCAACUUUUUCUUUAGGCGCAUGUAUGAUCGUUUAUUUUAUUCUUAAGGAUUGUAAUUUUAGUCUUUGCUAUAAAAAUAGAUAGAUAUCUGGCUUAUGAGAAAGAUUUAAUUUGGCCUACAAUAAUUUAAUUUUUGGAUUCUAGUUUUAGAGGCUAGAUGAAAUUGUAAAAGACAGUAAGUUGCUUUUAAUGGGUAGCUGAAGUUUAUUUAAAAACGGUACAAAUCAUCCAUCAAUUGCCUAUAGGGGAGUAAGUUGU
Molecule: non-coding RNA, 519 nt
Filed under: Anisakis simplex (herring worm)
Lineage: Eukaryota; Metazoa; Nematoda; Chromadorea; Rhabditida; Anisakidae
Source: RNAcentral